Small nucleolar RNA from Medicago truncatula (barrel medic), 111 nucleotides. It matches the Rfam family "Small nucleolar RNA snoR97". The record is from Rfam. NCBI's taxonomy places the organism in Eukaryota, Viridiplantae, Streptophyta, Magnoliopsida, Fabales, Fabaceae.
CCUUUUAAUUGGAUUUAGAGUCUGAAAAAAGAAGCUCAUAUAUUUGGUGUUGUCUAUCAGCUUCAUCUCUUGUAACCCACGAGUCUGGAGUUAAAUAUCAGCACAACAUUU